This 606-nucleotide ribosomal RNA is filed under the name uncultured bacterium. RNAcentral's name for it is "bacterial SSU rRNA". It matches the Rfam family "Bacterial small subunit ribosomal RNA", at positions 94 to 676 of the family's 1533-position model. The record is from RNAcentral.
AGUGGCGCACGGGUGAGUAACGCGUGGGUAAUCUACCUUCAAAUCGGGGAUAACAUUGCGAAAGCGAUGCUAAUACCGGAUAAUAUCUAAUGAACUUCGGUUCAUAAGAUCAAAGGUGGCCUCUAUAUAUAAGCUUCCGUUUGAAGAUGAGCCCGCGUACCAUUAGCUAGUUGGUAGGGUAAAGGCCUACCAAGGCGACGAUGGUUAGCUGGUCUGAGAGGAUGAUCAGCCACACUGGAACUGACACACGGUCCAGACUCCUACGGGAGGCAGCAGUGAGGAAUUUUGCGCAAUGGGGGAAACCCUGACGCAGCAACGCCGCGUGAGUGAUGAAGGCUUUCGGGUCGUAAAGCUCUGUCAAGUGGGAAGAAAAUGCGAAAUGUUAAUAUCAUUUUGCACUGACGGUACCACUGAAGGAAGCACCGGCUAACUCCGUGCCAGCAGCCGCGGUAAUACGGGGGGUGCAAGCGUUAUUCGGAAUUAUUGGGCGUAAAGAGCGCGUAGGCGGUCUUUUAAGUCAGAUGUGAAAGCCCGGGGCUUAACCCCGGAAGUGCAUUUGAAACUAAGGGACUUGAGUAUGGGAGAGGGAAGUGGAAUUCCUGGUGU